This 1052-nucleotide unclassified non-coding RNA is filed under the name Hevea brasiliensis (rubber tree). Lineage: Eukaryota; Viridiplantae; Streptophyta; Magnoliopsida; Malpighiales; Euphorbiaceae. The record is from RNAcentral.
GAGAGAGAGAGAGAGAGAGCCAAAACAAAAAUUCAAGAAAAAUGAAGAACAAAUCCAAUGGCCUCUAAAAGUGGCACACUCUUGACUGAAUGCAUUCAUUCAAUGCAUUCACUUGAACAGAUAUACUAGGUAAAGAAAAAUAAACAAAUAAAUGAUUUAAGGGGAAAAAAGGGAAGAAACAAUUCCUGGGGACUCUGAAGUCUGAAAGUGGCAUACUGUUGAUGAAAUUACUUGGCAAAGAAAACAUAAAAAAGAGGGAAAAUAUUAAUGAAAAACAUUGAAGAAACAAAUCUAGUGGGAUCUAAGUGGCGUACUGUUUCUCAAAUUAAAUAUGAUUUUUUCAGAAUUUCUUCCUUAACCAUUAUAAUUUCAUCCAUAUGCAGCUUUGCUAAUUUCUAUCCUCUAAAUAUUCCAGUCAUUAAUAUGGAAUUUGAGAAAAGGACUGUCUGGUUAAUAGCAACAGUGCAUUAAAUGUAUAAUGCUGUCUGUAACACUAUAUUUACACAUACUUUUUAAAAUGCAAAAUCAUCCAGAAUAAAAAGUGCCCUUGUGCUGUUGUGCAUGGAGUACGUCAGCUACUCUCACAACCCCAUUGGAACGUUACAUGAAAUGAUAGAGCAAAAAAAUGUUAAGAUAUAGUGUUGAUUAUGCCUUGAUUUAUUGCUGUAAAUGGGUUGUAAUUAUGCAUUAAUAUAGGAUGUAAUUAUGAAGUAGGAUCUCCUACAAUCAUGUAAGCUUCCUAUUUUGUUUCUUCAGUAAUAUUAUAAAUCCCAACCAAGCUUGAGGGAAUAAUCAAGCUUUCCCUUCACAAAUCCUCUCUCUUUCCAUAUUUUCACAAAAAAAUGUGGAGAUCCCUGCAUUUCUUUGGUAUGCCAAUAUAGAGGAUAAAAGGAAAAUGUAACUCGCUUCUUUUCAACUACUAGAUUAAAUAAAGGUAUGCAGUUUAUGCAGGCAGAAGCAGAACCAUGAAAAAUCAGGUAUAUGAAGGAAACAAAAAUGUCCCUCAGACCUCAUAAUCCUUUUACUACAAGAGCCAACAAACUUGAAUUCAA